AACGAACGCUGGCGGCAGGCUUAACACAUGCAAGUCGAACGGGCAUAGCAAUAUGUCAGUGGCAGACGGGUGAGUAACACGUGGGAACCUUCCUAGAGGUACGGAACAACGCAGGGAAACUUGUGCUAAUACCGUAUACGCUCGAGAGAGGAAAGAUUAUCGCCUUUAGACGGGCCCGCGUAGGAUUAGGUAGUUGGUGAGGUAACGGCUCACCAAGCCUACGAUCCUUAGCUGAUCUGAGAGGAUGAUCAGCCACACUGGGACUGAGACACGGCCCAGACUCCUACGGGAGGCAGCAGUGGGGAAUCUUGGACAAUGGGCGCAAGCCUGAUCCAGCCAUGCCGCGUGAGUGAAGAAGGCCUUCGGGUUGUAAAGCUCUUUUACCAGGGACGAUAAUGACGGUACCUGGAAAAUAAGCCCCGGCUAACUUCGUGCCAGCCGCCGCGGUAA
Molecule: ribosomal RNA, 450 nt
Filed under: uncultured bacterium
Lineage: Bacteria
Description: partial 16S ribosomal RNA
Rfam family: Bacterial small subunit ribosomal RNA
Source: RNAcentral